Molecule: non-coding RNA, 59 nt
Filed under: Synechococcus phage 27A
Also listed under: 1 other name
Description: Synechococcus phage Glutamine-II sequence
Rfam family: Glutamine-II riboswitch aptamer
About the family: The major groove of the PK provides the binding site for L-glutamine
Source: RNAcentral
AAGCGUUCAGCCCCUUUUGGGGUCGCAGCACGAGUCACGCCAGGGAACGGGGACGUGAC